Molecule: long non-coding RNA, 595 nt
Organism: Tyto alba (common barn owl)
Lineage: Eukaryota; Metazoa; Chordata; Aves; Strigiformes; Tytonidae
Exons: 4
Source: RefSeq, a predicted model, not a curated record
GCAGAAAGCCUGAGACUUUGAGCAUUGCAACUGCAACAUAACUCUUUAAACUGUUUGACUGCAGGGAAGCUGCUGGCCUGCAAGACAAUUCUAGACAACCUCACGGGAGAACAAGGGUAGCCACAGGAGCAGUCUGUCUGUCUGUCUGCAGCCUCUCCUGACAGCACUUUGAGAUGCAUAACUAUUAAUAUGGAGAGUCGACCAUGAGGGAAUGGAUUAAAAUACUUGCCCACGCACCACACCUCCAAGCUCUUUUCCUCAUGCAAUUUUGUCUAGGAAGGGGAAGAAAAGCACGUCAGCCAUUCAAGAGUAUGUCCCAGGACUUCAAAAGUGGAACUUCAUAGGUAAAUACGAGAUUGGAUUGAAUUUGGUGAGUCCAUGAAGUGGAUUUUCGAUACUGAAGGACUGUCAUUUUGGAAGGUGAUUUAAGAGUUUUGACUGUUGUUGUCAUCCUCAGUGUUAUGAAAAGCAUGCAUCUAGCUGUGCAGUCUGAGAUCCCUUCCAGCUGUUUCAAAAAACAGUUAUUAUCAUCUGCAAGCAAGAUUGUUUUGCACCACAGUAGAUAUUAGAAGGAAGCCUAUGUAAUCAUUUAUAG